This 245-nucleotide ribosomal RNA is filed under the name uncultured Lachnospiraceae bacterium. Its description in RNAcentral is "partial 16S ribosomal RNA". It matches the Rfam family "Bacterial small subunit ribosomal RNA", at positions 524 to 768 of the family's 1533-position model. The record is from RNAcentral. Lineage: Bacteria; Bacillati; Bacillota; Clostridia; Lachnospirales; Lachnospiraceae.
UACGUAGGGGGCAAGCGUUAUCCGGAUUUACUGGGUGUAAAGGGAGCGUAGACGGCAUGGCAAGUCUGAAGUGAAAGCCCGGGGCUUAACCGCGGGACUGCUUUGGAAACUGUUAAGCUAGAGUGCAGGAGAGGUAAGUGGAAUUCCUAGUGUAGCGGUGAAAUGCGUAGAUAUUAGGAGGAACACCAGUGGCGAAGGCGGCUUACUGGACUGUAACUGACGUUGAGGCUCGAAAGCGUGGGGAG